RNAcentral lists this ribosomal RNA (448 nucleotides) under uncultured bacterium. RNAcentral describes it as "bacterial SSU rRNA". It matches the Rfam family "Bacterial small subunit ribosomal RNA", at positions 330 to 794 of the family's 1533-position model. The record is from RNAcentral.
ACCAGACUCCUACGGGAGGCAGCAGUGGGGAAUAUUGCACAAUGGGGGAAACCCUGAUGCAGCGACGCCGCGUGAGCGAUGAAGUAUUUCGGUAUGUAAAGCUCUAUCAGCAGGGAAGAAGAUGACGGUACCUGACUAAGAAGCCCCGGCUAACUACGUGCCAGCAGCCGCGGUAAUACGUAGGGGGCAAGCGUUAUCCGGAUUUACUGGGUGUAAAGGGAGCGUAGACGGCGAUGCAAGCCAGAUGUGAAAGCCCGGGGCUCAACCCCGGGAUUGCAUUUGGAACUGUAAGGCUAGAGUGUCGGAGAGGCAGGCGGAAUUCCUAGUGUAGCGGUGAAAUGCGUAGAUAUUAGGAGGAGCACCGGCGGCGAAGGCGGCCUGCUGGGCCGCGACUGACGUUGAGGCUCGAAAGCGUGGGGAGCAAACAGGGUUAGAUACCCCAGUAUGA